This 76-nucleotide small RNA is filed under the name Xanthomonas citri pv. aurantifolii. Its description in RNAcentral is "sX9 sRNA". It matches the Rfam family "Xanthomonas sRNA sX9". Lineage: Bacteria; Pseudomonadati; Pseudomonadota; Gammaproteobacteria; Lysobacterales; Lysobacteraceae. The record is from RNAcentral. RNAcentral also lists the same sequence under 8 other names.
AUGUGACACGCAUACAUUCCGGUUCCCGCGCGCCGGCCACACCCGCCCGAGGGCCGCUCGUUACGUUUUGUUGGCC